RNAcentral lists this ribosomal RNA (915 nucleotides) under Bolbitius titubans. RNAcentral's name for it is "eukaryotic LSU rRNA". It matches the Rfam family "Eukaryotic large subunit ribosomal RNA", at positions 47 to 949 of the family's 3401-position model. Lineage: Eukaryota; Fungi; Basidiomycota; Agaricomycetes; Agaricales; Bolbitiaceae. The record is from RNAcentral.
UAAGCGGAGGAAAAGAAACUAACAAGGAUUCCCCUAGUAACUGCGAGUGAAGCGGGAAAAGCUCAAAUUUAAAAUCUGGCAGUCUUUGAUUGUCCGAGUUGUAAACUAGAGAAGUGUUAUCCGCGCUGGACCGUGUAAAAGUCUCCUGGAAUGGAGCAUCAUAGAGGGUGAGAAUCCCGUCUUUGACAUGGACUACCAGUGCUUUGUGAUGCGCUCUCAAAGAGUCGAGUUGUUUGGGAAUGCAGCUCAAAAUGGGUGGUAAAUUCCAUCUAAAGCUAAAUAUUGGCGAGAGACCGAUAGCGAACAAGUACCGUGAGGGAAAGAUGAAAAGAACUUUGGAAAGAGAGUUAAACAGUACGUGAAAUUGCUGAAAGGGAAACGCUUGAAGUCAGUCGCGUCGGCCAGGAAUCAACCUUGCUUUUGCUGGGCGUACUUUCUGGUUGACGGGUCAGCAUCAAUUUUGACUGCUGGAAAAAGUUCAAGGGAAUGUGGCAUCUUCGGAUGUGUUAUAGCCCUUGUUCGCAUACAGCAGUUGGGAUUGAGGUACUCAGCACGCCGCAAGGCCGGGUUUCGACCACGUUCGUGCUUAGGAUGCUGGCAUAAUGGCUUUAAUCGACCCGUCUUGAAACACGGACCAAGGAGUCUAACAUGCCUGCGAGUGUUUGGGUGGAAAACCCAAGCGCGCAAUGAAAGUAAAAGUUGAGAUCCCUGUCAUGGGGAGCAUCGACGCCCGGACCAGAGCUUUUGUGACGGAUCUGCGGUAGAGCAUGUAUGUUGGGACCCGAAAGAUGGUGAACUAUGCCUGAAUAGGGUGAAGCCAGAGGAAACUCUGGUGGAGGCUCGUAGCGAUUCUGACGUGCAAAUCGAUCGUCAAAUUUGGGUAUAGGGGCGAAAGACUAAUCGAACCAUCUAGUA